RNAcentral lists this ribosomal RNA (497 nucleotides) under uncultured bacterium. RNAcentral's name for it is "partial 16S ribosomal RNA". It matches the Rfam family "Bacterial small subunit ribosomal RNA", at positions 28 to 507 of the family's 1533-position model. The record is from RNAcentral.
GAUGAACGCUGGCGGCGUGCCUAAUACAUACAAGUCGAGCGAACAGACGAGGAGCUUGCUCCUCUGACGUUAGCGGCGGACGGGUGAGUAACACGUGGAUAACCUACCUAUAAGACUGGGAUAACUUCGGGAAACCGGAGCUAAUACCGGAUAAUAUAUUGAACCGCAUGGUUCAAUAGUGAAAGACGGUUUUGCUGUCACUUAUAGAUGGAUCCGCGCCGCAUUAGCUAGUUGGUAAGGUAACGGCUUACCAAGGCAACGAUGCGUAGCCGACCUGAGAGGGUGAUCGGCCACACUGGAACUGAGACACGGUCCAGACUCCUACGGGAGGCAGCAGUAGGGAAUCUUCCGCAAUGGGCGAAAGCUUGACGGAGCAACGCCGCGUGGGUGAUGAAGGUCUUCGGAUCGUAAAACUCUGUUAUUAGGGAAGAACAAAUGUGUAAGUAACUAUGCACGUCUUGACGGUACCUAAUCAGAAAGCCACGGCUAACUACGUG